GUGACAUCAUAUCUUCAUUGAAGUCUUGGCCGACCACAAAAGACGCCGGGAAUCGGCCAGCAACCUUCCGAAAAAGAAAGUCCGGGAUCCCGCCGGCCAAUCGGAUGGCGCGGUGGGCGGGGCUUCCGCUCUCGGGGCAUUGCUGUUGCAGCUCGUGGCAUUCUGGAGUACAGAGUUCAAUUCUGGCGCCGUUCUGUAAGGAGUAUGUGCUGCAUGUGAAAUGCGUGGGUUUCCGCCGGGUGCUCCAGUUUCCUCCCACAGUCCAAAGUUCGUAGGUUAAUUGGCGGUGAGUUUUCUUUGAUGGAUUGCUGCCCAGAACUGAAACAGAUGGCAGGCAUAUUGUCUAUAUGCCUAUUGGAAUGAAGAGUAGGAAAACAAAAAAAAACUACACUGGCUAUCUUCUCAACUCUCCACUUAAAAGGAAUUUGAAAGUGGUGUAGGAUGGAGGUAUUUGCCUUAAGCUCAACAUGAGGCUAAAGUUGGAAG
Long non-coding RNA from Mobula hypostoma (lesser devil ray), 486 nucleotides. RefSeq lists it as uncharacterized. The transcript is spliced from 3 exons. The record is from RefSeq and is a predicted model, not a curated record. Lineage: Eukaryota; Metazoa; Chordata; Chondrichthyes; Myliobatiformes; Myliobatidae.